GACGAACGCUGGCGGCGUGCCUAAUACAUGCAAGUCGAACGAGAGCGACCGGUGCUUGCACUGGUCAAUCUAGUGGCGAACGGGUGAGUAACACGUGGGUAACCUGCCCAUCAGAGGGGGAUAACAUUCGGAAACGGAUGCUAAAACCGCAUAGGUCUUCGAACCGCAUGGUUUGAAGAGGAAAAGAGGCGCAAGCUUCUGCUGAUGGAUGGACCCGCGGUGCAUUAGCUAGUUGGUGAGGUAACGGCUCACCAAGGCCGUGAUGCAUAGCCGACCUGAGAGGGUGAUCGGCCACAUUGGGACUGAGACACGGCCCAAACUCCUACAGGAGGCAGCAGUAGGGAAUCUUCCGCAAUGGACGCAAGUCUGACGGAGCAACGCCGCGUGAGUGAAGAAGGUUUUCGGAUCGUAAAACUCUGUUGUUAGAGAAGAAUAAGUGCUAGAGUAACUGUUAGCGCCUUGACGGUAUCUAACCAGAAAGCCACGGCUAACUACGUG
Molecule: ribosomal RNA, 498 nt
Filed under: uncultured bacterium
Lineage: Bacteria
Description: partial 16S ribosomal RNA
Rfam family: Bacterial small subunit ribosomal RNA
Source: RNAcentral